This 389-nucleotide unclassified non-coding RNA is filed under the name soil metagenome. RNAcentral's name for it is "partial contains 5.8S ribosomal RNA, internal transcribed spacer 2, and large subunit ribosomal RNA". The stretch from base 1 to 122 matches the Rfam family "5.8S ribosomal RNA", at positions 35 to 154 of the family's 154-position model. The record is from RNAcentral.
GAUGAAGAACGUAGCGAAAUGCGAUACUUGGUGUGAAUUGCAGAAUCCCGUGAACCAUCGAGUCUUUGAACGCAAGUUGCGCCCGAAGCCAUUAGGCCGAGGGCACGCCUGCCUGGGCGUCACACGUCGUUGCCCCCCCAUCUACUCCUUCGGGAUUGCGGGGGCGGAUGAUGGCCUCCCGUGCGCCUCGCCGCGCGGUUGGCAUAAAUGCCAAGUCCUCGGCGACGCACGCCACGACAAUCGGUGGUUGCGAAACCUCGGUUGCCCGUCGUGUGCGGUCGUCGCGCAUCGAGGGCUCGAAAAAAUUGCCGGGUUCCGGCUCGGCUUUCAACGCGACCCCAGGUCAGGCGGGGUUACCCGCUGAAUUUAAGCAUAUCAAUAAGCGGAGA